CAGCAGCCACGGUAAUACGAAGGGGGCUAGCGUUGUUCGGAAUUACUGGGCGUAAAGCGCACGUAGGCGGAUAUUUAAGUCAGGGGUGAAAUCCCGCAGCUCAACUGCGGAACUGCCUUUGAUACUGGGUAUCUUGAGUAUGGAAGAGGUUAGUGGGAUUGCGAGUGUAGAGGUGAAAUUCGUAGAUAUUCGCAGGAACACCAGUGGCGAAGGCGGCUAACUGGUCCAUAACUGACGCUGAGGUGCGAAAGCGUGGGGAGCAAACAGGAUUAGAUACCCCUGUAGUCCCUGUCUCUUAUAC
This 301-nucleotide ribosomal RNA is filed under the name uncultured bacterium. RNAcentral's name for it is "partial 16S ribosomal RNA". It matches the Rfam family "Bacterial small subunit ribosomal RNA", at positions 509 to 807 of the family's 1533-position model. The record is from RNAcentral.